This is a long non-coding RNA of Oncorhynchus tshawytscha (Chinook salmon), 629 nucleotides long. The record is from Ensembl. Lineage: Eukaryota; Metazoa; Chordata; Actinopteri; Salmoniformes; Salmonidae.
GAGGCUAUAUACAGGGUGUUACGGUACAGAGUCAGUGUGGAGGCUAUAUACAGGGUGUUACGGUACAGAGUCAAUGUGGAGGCUAUAUACAGGGUGUUACGGUACAGAGUCAAUGUGAAGGCUAUAUACGGGGUGCUACGGUACAGAGUCAAUGUGGAGGCUAUAUACAGGGUGUUACGGUACAGAGUCAAUGUGGAGGCUAUAUACAGGAGGUACCGGUACAGAGUCAAUGUGGAGGCUAUAUACAGGGGGGUACCGGUACAGAGUCAAUGUGGAGGCUAUAUACAGGGUGUUACGGUACAGAGUCAAUGUGGAGGCUAUAUACAGGGUGUUACGGUACAGAGUCAAUGUGGAGGCAAUAUACAGGGUGUUACGGUACAGAGUCAAUGUGGAGGCUAUAUACAGGGUGUUACGGUACAGAGUCAAUGUGAAGGCUAUAUACAGGGUGUACCGGUACAGAGUCAAUGUGGAGGCUGUAUACAGGGUGUUACGGUACAGAGUCAAUGUGGAGGCAAUAUACAGGGUGUUACGGUACAGAGUCAAUGUGGAGGCUAUAUACAGGGUGUUACGGUACAGAGUCAAUGUGAAGGCUAUAUACGGGGUGCUACGGUACAGAGUCAAUGUGGAGG